UUGGAGAUGGUCUGAAUUUGGUUCC
RNAcentral lists this non-coding RNA (25 nucleotides) under Mus musculus (house mouse). The record is from RNAcentral. Lineage: Eukaryota; Metazoa; Chordata; Mammalia; Rodentia; Muridae.